This 114-nucleotide ribosomal RNA is filed under the name Vibrio navarrensis. RNAcentral describes it as "partial 23S ribosomal RNA". It matches the Rfam family "Bacterial large subunit ribosomal RNA", at positions 1 to 106 of the family's 2925-position model. The record is from RNAcentral. Lineage: Bacteria; Pseudomonadati; Pseudomonadota; Gammaproteobacteria; Vibrionales; Vibrionaceae.
GUUGUAUGGUUAAGUGACUAAGCGUACACGGUGGAUGCCUUGGCAGUCAGAGGCGAUGAAGGACGUACUAACUUGCGAUAAGCGGUGAUGAGGCAGUAAGAGCCACUUGAGUCA